CCGCUACACAGUAACAGACCAUCUGUCCUCUGGACCAAAAACAUCUCUUUCCAUGUACAAACUAACCAGCGACAUUUAUUAAACUCGCAACACUGAGAUCAUCCCGUCGUUCCCACGUACCGUUCACGCGGCAGGGACACCGCAGACCUUGUCGUACAGGUCAACUCCCCUCUCAAGAUCGUGUCCUCGAACACGCUUAUCCUUUAACUAAACACACACAGACCGGACUACGGGGGAGGCUCCGAUCAUGCCUUACAAACACAAACUACCCCGUCAGGGGCACAGCGACUCCGCCUCCACUCGCUUACUUUCCAGCCCCCUCCCCGGAGCCGGGAGUCCGCCUGUCAGGGACACCCCUUCACCCCGCCUGGAGGGACUUCCCGGUAGGCUCAGGAACCCCCUCCCUGCUCGCCCUUCCCCCAUCUCCACCACGGCUCUCCCGGAGGUCCAGGUCCGGGAGAUGACAGUGGCUCCCAGGAAGCCCAGGAUUCCAUCGCUGAGAGUGUGCUUAGGCCCCAAGGCCCGCCCAGACCGUUCUACUCACCGUGUCGGAGGCCCAGGCCGACGGCGAUGAGAGUGCAGGGAAGUGGGGAAGAGGGGGUGGCCGCCAGGCUCCCGGGUCCACGGCGGAUUGCUCCCGCUUGUCAGGAGGCGGCCGGCGGGUGAGCGGACUGGCGGAAAUGCGAGAGAGGAGAAGGGAAAGGUGGAGGGCUAAAGGGGGCAAACUGAGGGGAGGCGGGUCCCGCAACCGAGACUGGAAUCGUCUCCCCCUCCGCAAAGCGAACCCAAAAUGGCGGCGGGAGCGGCGGCGGCGGCGGCAGCAGAGCGGCGGCAGCGGCGGCGGCAGCUCCUCCGGAGGGAGGGAGCGAAGGGCGCCUCGCGCCCCCCCACCUCCCACUCCUCCCUCCUCGCGUUCUUCCCCACCGUCCCCCACUCCGCCCGACUCUGGCCGCGUAGCGCGCACGCCUGCCCGCACGCGUACGGGUGUCUCCCGGCUCGUCGCUGGCUGCUCCCACCAACCACCACCUUCGGCCGCCCCGCGCGCCAGCCAGCCCGUACGCGCCCACCCAGGGACACCUCCUCGCGCGGCCCCCCACUCCCCCUCAGGCCCUGUCAAGACGGCUCCGGCGCAGGCCCUCACGCGUACCUUCAGCGGCGCGAGCCCAAGCCUCCUCCUCCUCCUCCACCUCCUCUUCUCUCCUCCCCCCCUUCCCCGCCCCCACGGCCACCAACCGCCGCCACUGCUGCUGCCGCCGCCGCCGCCGCCGCCAGGCCCCCCCACCGUCCGCCCCUCGCGCGUGCGCCUCCCACAAUCCCCCCCGCGAGACUGUUCCAUUCCUGUCAGCUGCAGGGGCAGGAGAGGGAGGGACAGGCAAAGCGGCUCGGGCUUGCCGUUUGACUGGAAUUGCCAGGGUGAUGGGCCGAGCCCCAAGACAACCUACCUCCCUUGACUCGUCGCCGCGGCGGUACGGGUCACCUCCCGCUCCUCCUCUCGGGACCGCGGCUAGCCGGUCAAGGGCUGCCUAGCGCCCCUCUGCCGGCCGGCGGUUGGAGGCCGCGGCGGCUGCGCGUUGAGUCGUUUCCUGCCGGACUGCUCGAGCCUUCUUCGCAGUCGCAAGACUGGCGCCUAGGAGCCGACCCUGGGCGGUGUGUGCCGGUUGCCUUGUCGGAAGAACUAGUCCUCGACUCACGGUGAGGGAAUGGACCGGCGCGGGGUUGUACCGCUGAGAGAAAGGAGCGGGACUCCGAACUUCCCGGAGGUAGGGAGUGAGGUCAGUAGGACCGGUGCGCCUCCCGGGGGGAUUCCUCCGGGGCGCUGAGUUGCCAGCCUGGGACCCGAGGAAGAUCGGCGUGGUGGUCCGCUUUUUGUUGUUGUUAACUCGGCUCGGAUUUCUCGAUUUUCACACCUUUGCCCAUAUGCAAUGUUUGCCUUUGACGCUCCCCAUGGAUGGUACUUCUUCAGCCUCGUUAGACAGCCUGAUGAUAGACGAUGAAGAAUCCAUGUGCUUCUCAUUCAGUUCUGGACUCAGUUUCCCUUGUCUUCCCCCACCAAGUUGUUUUUCUUAGUUCCUUAUCAAAAAGUGUAGAUGAAAAUUAGGCAACUGCAAACACGCCUCCAGGGUUGGUGUGUGAAAUAAUUAAGAUAAUAUAUGUAAAGUGGAAUUAGCUCCUAGGCAUAGGGAAAGUGCAGAGAAUUGCGGUGUUGUCAUUUACAGUUCUGUUGAUGUCGAUAAGGUUUGUGGUUGUAAUUGGUAGUUUGUGUUCUGUUCCUCCAAGUCGUUAAUAAAACAAAGCA
Molecule: non-coding RNA, 2296 nt
Organism: Saimiri boliviensis boliviensis (Bolivian squirrel monkey)
Lineage: Eukaryota; Metazoa; Chordata; Mammalia; Primates; Cebidae
Source: RefSeq, a predicted model, not a curated record